GUGUUGCCCUCAGUCUGCCUUCAUCUCAUGUUAAGAGGCAGAGGAGAAGCAGGAAGGGUGGAGUGCUGCUGCUUAUGGUCAGCUGGUGACUGCCUGCUAGGAACCUCAUGUAGAGGUUGUCCUGCACCGUUUAAACAUUAUUUGUGUGUUGUCCCCCUCCACACCGCUAAGUAUUAGUUCCUCCUGGUUUGCAGAAUUGUCAGGGGCAAACACUGAGGCAUCAUCAUUUGGGCAAGAAAAGCUUCUACAAUCUAAUGGAUUUGUCUAAAUUAAUUAUUUUCCAAAUCUUGGCUGUGAGCUUGGCCCCAAGCAUUGUUUUUGUUACUGAUGAGAUUAGAAAUCUCCUUUUAAGAAGAAGAAGAAAAAAAAGCUGUUUUUCAUGUAAUCACUAGACUCCAGGAGCUGGGGACUUGGAAAAAGGAUGCAAGAGCUGUGAUAAAACCACAAGCCUUGAUGAAGCUGAGGAGAUACUUUCAAAUCCUCAUCUGUCUCCAGGAGCUGAGGAAGUAAAACAAAAUGUUCUCAAGUCGGAAGAAAAUCACUAGAGAAGCUAGCAACACGGAAACUGCAGCCUGCUAAACAGUUAAUUCAUCACCUGUCCCACUCGAGAGUUAAGGCUAUUUUGUGGGGGGUGGAAUGAGAUCUUCUAUUGGACCAACUGCAUGGUUGGAAGAGAUUUUGGAUGAGUGUUCAAACACAAGGUUUUGGGCAAUGGAGAGUUAAACUUUUUAAAAAUGAGCCCUGCUGAGAAGAGUCAGAAUCCUGAGAGAGAUGGUCCUUGGAAAUAUUGAGCAAAUGAGGGAUGUGUUGAAGCAUGUAGACAUCUUGACUGUGUGAAGCGAAAAUGGAUGUGUUAGGGCCCUGCUAGAGGUGUAAAGACUCAACCCACAAGAUGUCAAACGUGCUGGAGGCAGUUUACCAACCUGCCCCUUUGGCAGACAACUCAUAAUCCUACACAGGAAAUAAAUAUCUGGACCUUGGAAAACUGUGAAGUGUGUUGAGAACUUGUAAGACAGGCCAGUACAUAGAUUCUGCUCAGGUGUUAUCACAAUCUCGUGGGAAUUUUUGGGACUCUUUGAGCUAUCUAUGAAUUUGGGCUCAUUGAGACUCUGUGAGUAUUCCUCAUAUGCAUCCAGUUUGACAGGAUUUAAAAAAUGUUGCAUUUCUAUUUUACUGGGCUUGCAAGAUAGAAAUGCUGAAUCGUAAGUAGGCUUGAGCCUUGACAUCAGUCUAAGCCAUAUCUGAUGAGUUAGAGGCUUCAUAGAGACCCUAGCCUUCACAUUAGUCUGAGAUAGUUACCCCACAAAGACGUAGUAGUAUAGGAAGGCAUGAUUAUGACUUUUCUAAGAUUGUUUAAAGAUGACGGAUGUGUAAAUUGCCUUUUCCUUUUCUACUUACUCUUCCUCCUUCCUUAGCCAUCAUCUCUUUGUUUUCUGUCAUUCUGGUUGCUCUUUCAGCUUAGACUAGUACAAACUACCUGAAGUGACCAUAAUCACAGCUACCAAGUCAACUCAUCUUCAAAUGUCUCCCAGAGUUUUUCAAUACAUAAAUAAUAGAAGCUGUAAAUGCUGAGUCUGAAAGAAGACAGGUUUUAUAAUAGUCCAUCAACAAUUGCUCCAGGAAUAACCAAGAGCUUGUGUAAGAUUGCUACCUUAGCAAUGUUAGUAUAUCAAGUUAAAGUUAAGCCACAGUACUGUGAAGGUCAUGGCACAGCAUCUAACUUUUAUUAUCUCAUGUCAGCACGUAGGACUAUGUGAGAAUGAUUGCUUACUUCUCUAAUUGGGUGGCUGCCAAGAAAAAAAGUCCUGUUGGUUGCUGCACUGUUUUUAAGAGACAGGAUACAAUUAGGUCAUUUCCAAAUGGAUCUAAAGUGUCAGACCUCUGUUAUUUCACUAGCUCACCUGAUAUAUAGUUUGCUGGACUAAUGUCAGAGCUCAAGUCUGACUUCAUUAGCUCACUCACCAAGUGAUAGCUUGAACUGAUGUAAAUAUUUUGGGUUCCUGUAAAUUGACUAGCUCAACACCUCCAGCUUGCUGGACUAAGGACGAACCGUGAGCUUCUGGGAGCUGACCAUCUAUACCACUGUAGUGUGCUGGGCUGGUAUCCAGGCACAAAACUCGAUUAGGAUCAGCUCUCUCAAUGGCUCUAGCCUGCUGGUAUCAUGCCAUAGAUGCCUGUAUGACAUCCCUGGCUCAGCACUUUUGGCUUCCUGGACUGAUAUCAAGCCACAAACAUAUUUUGGGUAACUAUCACAGAAGUUAUAGCUCUUGAACUGAUGUGAAGUUUUGCAUCUCUUUAGAUAUACCUUCAACUCAUGUCAAGGCUCAUGCCUCCCUAAGGUUAGUAGCUCAGCAUUUUACCUUGCCAAAUCGAUAUCAAAGCUGAGGCCUCUGCGACAUAUAUGUUUGUGCUCCAUUGGUACAGUCUGUAGCUAUAUUAUGAUCUAGGCCUUGGUCUCUGAUAUUGCUGGCUCACGCCUAUACUCUACUUGCUGAUUUAUUUGAAGAGGCUGGUUAAUAUGUGUCCUAGAAGAACCAUAGAUUACUGGUUUGAUAGUAGGUGCAAGGCCAUUAUGAAUUCACUAGCUCAGUACUGGCUUGCUUGGCUGAUUCUAAGACUGAUCUCUGUAAAGUGUCUGGCUUUAUGAGUACACCUUUCUGCGGUGAUGCCAACCACCGUCUGCUUGGAGCUCAUUGGUUCAGCACUUCCAGUUUGCUAGAUUUUUGUUAAGGUAUAGGGUUUGGAAGUCACUGGCUCAGUGACCUUUUUAAAGGGUAGUUUAAAUUCUACAAAUAAGCCAACUGCAUGUGUAAUUACAAGGCUCCUAAUUUGAAAAUAAUGUACCUGUUACAUUUCAUUUCCCUCUGGCUGAUAUUCACAUGGUCAUUUAUAAAAUAUAAAAAUUAGAUGAUUAGUGUCAACUAAAUAAAGUAUGCAGCUGCAAGAUUCAACUAUCAGCAUAUAGAUACAGCAUUUGCAGACCUUCAGGCAAAGCUUGUGUCAACAGAUGAGCUUUGCACCGUUAUUUGAACAUGAGUCGACUUACGCUCUGUCACAACAGUGAAAAGUGUUCAUUCAUUUGCAGUGCAGCUCUUAUCUUGUGGAGGGGUAAUAAUGAGAGGAUUAGUGCUUUCUGCUGUUGCUAAAUUAAGUUCAAUGAAAAAUAAAAGUGUUGGGCAGGGUCUGGACAAACACCAUUUGGAGCUGUGUAUCUGGCAGAGCCUAGCUGGGUUUUUUUAGGGAUGGUGAUCAGAGCAUAUUUUACUCCAUUUCAGUAGAGUCCUGUAAUUUUCAUUGCUAUAUUCUUAGACUGAUGCAACUGCCAAGCUAUCACUGUUAUCCCUCACUCGCACAUUGAUUGUCACCAGAUUCAGUGAUGUGUAUUAAAAAAAACCUUUGCAAUGUAUACAAUAGUCUUUAAAAUGUCAGAGUAUUCAUGUUUAAAUAUAAGCUGUCUCAGGGCAUGGUAACUGUUGUAAAUGUUGACUUCCUUACAGUGACUACUAUAUUUCUGUGUUUAGCUAGGUGUGAGGUUUCUAAGUAUUGUGACAUUGGGCAUUUUAAACAUGAAAUCAUUUGUAUUUCUCAGACCCUGGAAAUUCACCGCAGUCUCGGUAGCUGUCUCCACUCAAAAUCUGGGUAAUUAGGUAAUACAACAGUUUGGUUUUUAUGUGUUUGAAAAAAAUUAUAGGUUGUCAUCAAGAAGUAGCAUUUUGAGGCAGAGUGUAGUAAUGGCUUGGAGUUGGGUAGGAUUUGUGAAAUGUUUCCUGGCACUGGUGAAGAACUGACUCUGUUUUCUAUAAAGAUGACAGGAUUUGGAAUGAAAUUCCUAGUCUUCACAUUAUCUGGAAAAGUUUCUUGUCAGAAGGCAACAGCUUCUUCCAUAUAUUUUUUUCAGCUUUGAAACCAGAUCUGGUUUGUCAAAGCUGAGGUGCAAUGUAAAGCACAAAAUGAACUUUUUAAUGUCUUUGCAUUCUGGUUUGUUAUCUAUGACUAGAAAUCAGAUAGGGUUAACAUAUAUAAUUCAAUACUGCUGAUUCUUAACAUUUAUUUGCCAUGUUUACCUCAAAUCUGUUCAGUGCUUCCAAACUACCAUCAAAACAGUUUUCCUUCUAGACCCUGUUUUUUCUGAAAUACUGUUGACCGAAAAAGAACAGGAAGGAAGUUGCCUUGAAUUGCCUAAUCUUAGCUAUUGUCAGUGGUGCUUCUAAAGCUGGUUUGUUUUGUAUUUCCUUAUAGCUCACUUCAUGACACAGAAACAGACAGAUAUAUCAGAAUGUGUAGAUUUUUUAGCUAAGGGGAAUAAAAUGAACAAAAUC
This is a long non-coding RNA of Alligator mississippiensis (American alligator), 4319 nucleotides long. RefSeq lists it as uncharacterized. The record is from RefSeq and is a predicted model, not a curated record. The transcript is spliced from 2 exons. NCBI's taxonomy places the organism in Eukaryota, Metazoa, Chordata, Crocodylia, Alligatoridae.